Molecule: ribosomal RNA, 227 nt
Filed under: Macrococcus carouselicus
Lineage: Bacteria; Bacillati; Bacillota; Bacilli; Caryophanales; Staphylococcaceae
Description: partial 16S ribosomal RNA
Rfam family: Bacterial small subunit ribosomal RNA
Source: RNAcentral
UUUAUGGAGAGUUUGAUCCUGGCUCAGGAUGAACGCUGGCGGCGUGCCUAAUACAUGCAAGUCGAGCGAACUGACAGGAGUGCUUGCACUCCUUGACGUUAGCGGCGGACGGGUGAGUAACACGUGGGUAACCUACCUAUAAGACUGGGAUAACUUCGGGAAACCGGAGCUAAUACCGGAUAAUAUUUUCCACCUCAUGGUGGAAUAGUGAAAGACGGUUCUGCUGU